AAAACCUUUAAUUUGAUCCAGAGAGAUCAAUAAGGAAGUUAUAUAAUGCUAUGUUAAUAAUAGAGAUUAUACUAUGCCUUCCUUAAAGGAAGGCAUUUUUUUAU
This is a non-coding RNA of Clostridium fallax, 104 nucleotides long. NCBI's taxonomy places the organism in Bacteria, Bacillati, Bacillota, Clostridia, Eubacteriales, Clostridiaceae. The record is from Rfam.